This 73-nucleotide transfer RNA is filed under the name Nephroselmis astigmatica. Its description in RNAcentral is "tRNA-Lys". It matches the Rfam family "tRNA". From Rfam's summary of the family: Transfer RNA (tRNA) molecules are approximately 80 nucleotides in length. Lineage: Eukaryota; Viridiplantae; Chlorophyta; Nephroselmidophyceae; Nephroselmidales; Nephroselmidaceae. The record is from RNAcentral.
GGGUUGGUAGCUCAGCUGGUAGAGCACUCGGCUUUUAACCGACUGGUCGUGGGUUCGAGUCCCACCCAACCCA